GCGGGUUUAGCUCAGUUGGGAGAGCGUCAGACUGAAGCUAAACUUCAGUUUCAGAGUUAUCUGAAGGUCCCGUGUUCGAUCCACGGAAACCGCA
Molecule: transfer RNA, 94 nt
Filed under: Thermochaetoides thermophila DSM 1495
Lineage: Eukaryota; Fungi; Ascomycota; Sordariomycetes; Sordariales; Chaetomiaceae
Description: Chaetomium thermophilum var. thermophilum DSM 1495 tRNA
Rfam family: tRNA
About the family: Transfer RNA (tRNA) molecules are approximately 80 nucleotides in length. Their secondary structure includes four short double-helical elements and three loops (D, anti-codon, and T loops). Further hydrogen bonds mediate the characteristic L-shaped molecular structure. tRNAs have two regions of fundamental functional importance: the anti-codon, which is responsible for specific mRNA codon recognition, and the 3' end, to which the tRNAs corresponding amino acid is attached (by aminoacyl-tRNA synthetases). tRNAs cope with the degeneracy of the genetic code in two manners: having more than one tRNA (with a specific anti-codon) for a particular amino acid; and 'wobble' base-pairing, i.e. permitting non-standard base-pairing at the 3rd anti-codon position.
Source: Rfam by way of RNAcentral